RNAcentral lists this transfer RNA (71 nucleotides) under Camelus bactrianus (Bactrian camel). It matches the Rfam family "tRNA". From Rfam's summary of the family: Transfer RNA (tRNA) molecules are approximately 80 nucleotides in length. Their secondary structure includes four short double-helical elements and three loops (D, anti-codon, and T loops). The record is from Rfam by way of RNAcentral. Lineage: Eukaryota; Metazoa; Chordata; Mammalia; Artiodactyla; Camelidae. RNAcentral also lists the same sequence under 2 other names.
GAGGGUAUAGCUCAGUGGUGGAGUUCAUGCUUGGCAUGUACGAGGUCCAGGGUUCAAUCCCCAGUACCUCA